Molecule: non-coding RNA, 221 nt
Filed under: unclassified sequences
Description: RT-2 RNA
Rfam family: RT-2 RNA
About the family: Coriobacteriales (Actinobacteria), Clostridiales (Firmicutes). Downstream gene
Source: Rfam by way of RNAcentral
AAGGCAUCGACAAAGUAACUCACACGAGCGAAAUCAUUGGCAGAGAAAAGUAAUGAAGGAGCCUAUAACCUUCCCUAAAGGGUAAAUACUACAUCAUGACGUCUCACAGACGGACGCUUCUUGCAUGGCAGGAUUGGCACACUGUUUCAUGUCUGUGAGCUAUGCAGCUAGUCGCCAAAGAAAGGAAGCUGUGCAGGGUGAACUCAAAAGAAAGACAUGAG